Molecule: long non-coding RNA, 572 nt
Organism: Drosophila obscura
Lineage: Eukaryota; Metazoa; Arthropoda; Insecta; Diptera; Drosophilidae
Exons: 2
Source: RefSeq, a predicted model, not a curated record
UUCGUAUUAUCCACAUUGCGGCAAUCGCAGAAUCAUAAGGAAUUAUCUAAUAUUUCAUAAUAUGAGGAAAACUUAACAAACAUAUAUUUUAAGUGAUUCUAAUAUAUUUUCUUUAUAUAUAUUUAAGAUUGGAACUUCACUCGGAGAGCGGAAAUAACAAGCCAGAACUAAUAUUCAUGGACCAAGUAGAGGACAUUUCAUCUGAGUUUAUUUUACACAAAAACGAAAAUUGCAUUCAAAUUCGCAUUAAUGAUGGUAGUCGAGAUGGUAGGAUUGUUUUAACGAACUCUGAUGAAAUCGGAUUAAAGGAAUGGGCGUCAUCUUUGAGAUCCGCGCACAAAAUGUCGCAAGAUCUCUUAGGAUCAAUGGCUAAAAAAGCUGGAAAAAUUUAUGGUAGUGAACGAGAUGCCAACAAAUCUAUAUAUAUUUUAGGGGUAAUUGUUCAACGAAAUCGUCUAAUGGGUCUAAUUAAUUAUUUAACAAUUUAUGUACAACAAUUACUGCUAUGUAAAACGAUGUAGAGGUAUACACAAUGGAAAUAAAUUUGGAGAGAUUCCUAAAAACCCACCUCA